This 482-nucleotide long non-coding RNA is filed under the name Equus caballus (horse). RNAcentral's name for it is "lncRNA (ENSECAG00000037938.2)". The record is from RNAcentral. Lineage: Eukaryota; Metazoa; Chordata; Mammalia; Perissodactyla; Equidae.
GCUAGAAACCCUGAAGAGUUGGUGUAGUUCCAGUCUGAGUCCAAAGGCUUAAGAACCAGGAAUCUGGUGGUGUAAGUUCCAAUCUGGAAGCUGAAUCUCAUCCAGGAUACUACGUUACCUUAGUAGUUAUGUCUCCUAAGGCUUCUCUUGGCUGUGACGAUAUCUCAGACUUCCCUUGUUUUUAAUGACCUUGACAAUUUUGAGGGGUACUGGUCAGAUUCUCUCCUAUGAUGUAGCUGAAAGGCCAACCAAGAAGUGGCUGGGACCUUGGUGAUGUGAGACCCAACUAAUACACAGAUAAUUAUUGCUUGGAUUCUUGCAAAGAAGGAAAAGCCCAGUCCAGAGAGAUCCCUCCAUUUCUACCAAGACUCUAUUUCCCACUUGCUAGAAAGAGCCAUAUAAACAGGAACAAAGCUUGCUAUGAAACCAACAAACAAAAAUCGACAAGAGAAUGCAGCGCCUAUGUUUUUUAUACCUGUAUU